GCCGCUGUAGCCUAGUUGGUAGAGGCGUCGCCAGUAUAGAUGGUGAAGGCCGCUGAUUCAUAUCCAGCCUGCGGUG
This is a non-coding RNA of Phthorimaea operculella (potato tuberworm), 76 nucleotides long. Lineage: Eukaryota; Metazoa; Arthropoda; Insecta; Lepidoptera; Gelechiidae. The record is from the annotation of a GenBank genome assembly.